Molecule: ribosomal RNA, 497 nt
Filed under: uncultured bacterium
Lineage: Bacteria
Description: partial 16S ribosomal RNA
Rfam family: Bacterial small subunit ribosomal RNA
Source: RNAcentral
GAUGAACGCUGGCGGCGUGCCUAAUACAUGCAAGUCGAGCGAACAGACGAGGAUCUUUCUCCUCUGACGUUAGCGGCGGACGGGUGAGUAACACGUGGAUAACCUACAUAUAAGGCUUGGAUAAGUUCGGGAAACCGGAGCUAAUACCGGGUAAUAUAUUGAACCUCAGGGUUCAAUAGUGAAAGACGGUUUGGCUGUCACUUAUAGAUGGAUCCUCGCCGCAGUAGCUAGUUGGUAAGGUAACGGCGUACCAAGGCAACGAUGCGUAGCCGAACUGAGAGGGUGAUCGGCCACCCUGGAACUGAGACACGGUCAAGACUCCUACGGGAGGCAGCAGUAGGGAAUCUUCCGCAAUGGGCGAAAGCCUGACGGAGCAACGCCGCGUCAGUGAUGAAGGUCUUCGGAUCGUAAAACUCUGUUAUUAGGGAAGAACAAAUGUGUAAGUAACUAUGCACGUCUUGACGGUACCUAAUCAGAAAGCCACGGCUAACUACGUG